This 510-nucleotide ribosomal RNA is filed under the name uncultured bacterium. RNAcentral describes it as "partial 16S ribosomal RNA". It matches the Rfam family "Bacterial small subunit ribosomal RNA", at positions 28 to 507 of the family's 1533-position model. The record is from RNAcentral.
GACGAACGCUGGCGGCGUGCUUAACACAUGCAAGUCGAACGAAGAGCGAUGGAAGCUUGCUUCUAUCAAUCUUAGUGGCGAACGGGUGAGUAACGCGUAAUCAACCUGCCCUUCAGAGGGGGACAACAGUUGGAAACGACUGCUAAUACCGCAUACGAUCCAAUCUCGGCAUCGGGACUGGAUGAAAGGUGGCCUCUAUUUAUAAGCUAUCACUGAAGGAGGGGAUUGCGUCUGAUUAGCUAGUUGGAGGGGUAACGGCCCACCAAGGCGAUGAUCAGUAGCCGGUCUGAGAGGAUGAACGGCCACAUUGGGACUGAGACACGGCCCAGACUCCUACGGGAGGCAGCAGUGGGGAAUCUUCCGCAAGGGACGAAAGUCUGACGGAGCAACGCCGCGUGAGUGAUGACGGCCUUCGGGUUGUAAAGCUCUGUUAAUCGGGACGAAUGGUUCUUGUGCGAAUAGGGCGAGGAUUUGACGGUACCGGAAUAGAAAGCCACGGCUAACUACGUA